RNAcentral lists this long non-coding RNA (689 nucleotides) under Zonotrichia albicollis (white-throated sparrow). RNAcentral's name for it is "lncRNA (ENSZALG00000000249.1)". The record is from RNAcentral. Lineage: Eukaryota; Metazoa; Chordata; Aves; Passeriformes; Passerellidae.
AAGAAACUGAACAUCAUCUGUAGGUAUCUUUCAAUUAAUUCUGUGCGCAAAUCCGCCAGAGGAAGGAAUUAAACAGUGGGUGAACUUGGUUUGAUUUUUCACAUCAUGGCAGACAGCAGUGGGGAGGAAAGGACGUUCUCUUUCCUUUGUUCUUCCAGUGGGUAGCUGACACUAUCCUGUGUUGUGCCUCUGUCUGGGAAGCUGGGGAGCAGAGCUUUCUUCAUUUUCUGCCUGCUUCUGCACACUACGUGGAGGAAGGGCACACAGCUAAUGUGCCCUUGCAGUGUAGAUAUGAAGAGCUAAGGAAACAUUUCACAGACAAAUACAGUUGCACAAGCAGAAAUGAAUCAAAUGAAAAUGACAUCCAGGUCAACGAGGCAGCGCAGCCCUCAGCAGUUUAACCACGUGAUGGUCCCAAGACCCACAGUGAUGCUGCCAGCACAGCCGCCCACAGAGCCUGCCAAGCAUCCAGAUGCUGCUGGAAGAUGAGGACCUUCCACAGUUGCCAUUUAACUCUUGAGAGGGAGGUAAUGGUGUUCAGAUUUUUUUUUAAUGACUGAAUUACAUCUUGCUUUAAUAGAUGAAUUAAAAUUCCCAUAUGCUCCUACAAGUGUUUGAGUAGACAUGUGGUGAAGUGCAUCCUAUUCUAAUAAGAACCUUGUUUUUUCUAAUAGAAAAUUAAUACUAAC